RNAcentral lists this ribosomal RNA (387 nucleotides) under Triticum aestivum (bread wheat). RNAcentral's name for it is "partial small subunit ribosomal RNA". Lineage: Eukaryota; Viridiplantae; Streptophyta; Magnoliopsida; Poales; Poaceae. The record is from RNAcentral.
UAACAAUCAGAAAGCAGCAAGCAACAAGCGCUCACUCCCCUAACGACAGAGAGAAAGGGCCCUCGAUCGGCCGGUCGGCCGGCUGGGUAAACCUUCUUUUCCUCCUUUAUUUCGCUGCAGAUCGGCCGGUUUCUGCCCUCCACGGGUGCCGCGGGCGGCAAAGCAGCAGCCGGGGCGCCACACAUCGCUUCAGGAAGAAAAGACGAUGGCGGGAGAGACGAUAAAAGGGGUUUGUCCGGGAGCGAUCAUUGCAUGGGUGGAUGAGUAUAAUUGCAUCCUGUGGAGCCACGCCUACGGCCAUCUUAGAUCAAAGAGAGAGACAAAAGACCAGGAAAUGCAGCAAUAAUACGGUGACCGACAUUAUCUCCAGAGAGGCAGAGAAAAAAG